RNAcentral lists this ribosomal RNA (406 nucleotides) under uncultured bacterium. RNAcentral's name for it is "partial 16S ribosomal RNA". It matches the Rfam family "Bacterial small subunit ribosomal RNA", at positions 28 to 526 of the family's 1533-position model. The record is from RNAcentral.
GAUGAACGCUAGCUACAGGCUUAACACAUGCAAGUCGAGGGACCGGCGCACGGGUGAGUAACACGUAUCCAACCUGCCCUUUACUCGGGGAUAGCCUUUCGAAAGAAAGAUUAAUACCCGAUAUAAAGGAUGGGGAUGCGUUCCAUUAGGUUGGUGGUGAGGUAACGGCUCACCAGGCCUUCGAUGGAUAGGGGUUCUGAGAGGAAGUGCCCCCACAGUGGAACUGGGACACGGUCCAAACUCCUACGGGAGGCAGCAGUGAGGAAUAUUGGUAAAUGGGCGCUAGCCUGAACCAGCCAAGUAGAAUGAAGAAUGAAGGCUUAUGGGUCGUAAACUUCUUUUAUAUAAGAAUAUGUAUUAUAUGAAUAAGGAUCGGCUAACUCCGUGCCAGCAGCCGCGGGAAUAC